This 253-nucleotide ribosomal RNA is filed under the name uncultured bacterium. RNAcentral describes it as "partial 16S ribosomal RNA". It matches the Rfam family "Bacterial small subunit ribosomal RNA", at positions 524 to 776 of the family's 1533-position model. The record is from RNAcentral.
UACGGAGGGUGCGAGCGUUGUCCGGAAUCACUGGGCGUAAAGGGCGCGUAGGCGGCCUGAUAAGUAGGGGGUGAAACCCUGCGGCUUAACCGCAGGGCUGCCUUCUAAACUGUCAGGCUAGAGCACAGUAGAGGCAGGUGGGAUUCCCGGUGUAGCGGUGGAAUGCGUAGAGAUCGGGAAGAACAUCAGUGGCGAAGGCGGCCUGCUGGGCUGUUGCUGACGCUGAGGCGCGACAGCGUGGGGAGCAAACAGG